This 253-nucleotide ribosomal RNA is filed under the name uncultured bacterium. RNAcentral describes it as "partial 16S ribosomal RNA". It matches the Rfam family "Bacterial small subunit ribosomal RNA", at positions 524 to 776 of the family's 1533-position model. The record is from RNAcentral.
GACGAACCGUGCGAACGUUGUUCGGAAUAACUGGGCUUAAAGGGUGCGUAGGCGGGUCCGCCAGUCUGUGGUGAAAACCUCCCGCUCAACGGGAGAACUGCCGUGGAUACUGCGGACCUCGAGGAAGAUAGGGGCGUGCGGAACAGUUGGUGGAGCGGUGAAAUGCGUUGAUAUCAACUGGAACUCCGGGGGCGAAGGCGGCACGCUGGGUCUUUUCUGACGCUGAGGAACGAAAGCUAGGGGAGCAAACGGG